AGCAGAGAUGCUUUGGUGCCUUUCGGGAACUCUGAGACAGGUGCUGCAUGGCUGUCGUCAGCUCGUGUUGUGAAAUGUUGGGUUUAAGUCCCGCAACGAGCGCAACCCUUUAUCCUUUGUUGCCAGCGGUCCGGCCGGGAACUCAAAGGAGACUGCCAGUGAUAAACUGGAGGAAGGUGGGGAUGACGUCAAGUCAUCAUGGCCCUUACGAGUAGGGCUACACACGUGCUACAAUGGCGCAUACAAAGAGAAGCGACCUCGCGAGAGCAAGCGGACCUCAUAAAGUGCGUCGUAGUCCGGAUUGGAGUCUGCAACUCGACUCCAUGAAGUCGGAAUCGCUAGUAAUCGUAGAUCAGAAUGCUACGGUGAAUACGUUCCCGGGCCUUGUACACACCGCCCGUCACACCAUGGGAGUGGGUUGCAAAAGAAGUAGGUAGCUUAACCUUCGGGAGGGCGCUUACCACUUUGUGAUUCAUGACUGGGGUGAAGUCGUAACAAGGUAGGCGUAGCGAG
RNAcentral lists this ribosomal RNA (513 nucleotides) under uncultured bacterium. Its description in RNAcentral is "bacterial SSU rRNA". It matches the Rfam family "Bacterial small subunit ribosomal RNA", at positions 999 to 1509 of the family's 1533-position model. The record is from RNAcentral.